UUCGAUCAUGGCUCAGAUUGAACGCUGGCGGGAUGCUUUACACAUGCAAGUCGAACGGCAGCGGACUUCCGGUCUGGUGGCGAGUGGCGAACGGGUGAGUAAUGUAUCGGAACGUGCCUAGUAGCGGGGGAUAACUACGCGAAAGCGUAGCUAAUACCAUACGCCCUUCGAGGAAAGCGGGGGACCUUCGGGCCUCGCACUAUUAGAGCGAGCCGAUCAGGUUAGCUAGUUGGUGGGGUAACGGCUCACCAAGGCGACGAUCCAUGGCGAGGUUUGAGAGGACGACCAGCCACACUGGGACUGAGACACGGCCCAGACUCUACGGGAGGCAGCAGUGGGGAAUUUUGGACAAUGGGGGAAACCCUGAUCCAGCCAUCCCGCGUGUGCGAUGAAGGCCUUCGGGUUGUAAAGCACUUUUUUGGCGGGAAAGAAACGGCGCAGGAUAAUACCCGAUGCAACUGACGAUACCUGCAGAAUAAGCACCGGCUAACUACGUGCCAGCAGCCGCGGUAAUACGUAAAAGUGCAAGCGUUAAUCGGAAUUACUGGGCGUAAAGCGUGCGCAGGCGGUUCGGAAAGAAAGAUGUGAAAUCCCAGAGCUUAACUUUGGAACUGCAUUUUUAACUACCGAGCUAGAGUGUGUCAGAGGGAGAGGUGGAAUUCCGCGUGUAGCAGUGAAAUGCGUAGAUAUGCGGAGGAACACCGAUGGCGAAAGGCAACCUCCUGGGAUAACACUGACGCUCAUGCACGAAAAGCGUGGGGGAGCAAACGGGAUUAGAUACCUGGUAGUCCACGCCCUAAACGAUGUCAACUAGCUGUUGGGGCCUUCGGGCCUUGGUAGCGCAGCUAACGCGUGAAGUUGACCGCCUGGGGAGUACGGUCGCAAGAUUAAAACUCAAAGGAAUUGACGGGGACCCGCACAAGCGGUGGAUGAUGUGGAUUAAUUCGAUGCAACGCGAAAAACCUUACCUACCCUUGACAUGUCUGGAAUCCCGA
This 995-nucleotide unclassified non-coding RNA is filed under the name uncultured Bordetella sp. RNAcentral's name for it is "partial 16S-23S ribosomal RNA intergenic spacer". It matches the Rfam family "Bacterial small subunit ribosomal RNA", at positions 12 to 1001 of the family's 1533-position model. Lineage: Bacteria; Pseudomonadati; Pseudomonadota; Betaproteobacteria; Burkholderiales; Alcaligenaceae. The record is from RNAcentral.